Molecule: ribosomal RNA, 487 nt
Filed under: uncultured bacterium
Lineage: Bacteria
Description: bacterial SSU rRNA
Rfam family: Bacterial small subunit ribosomal RNA
Source: RNAcentral
CGAACGCUGGCGGCGUGCUUAACACAUGCAAGUCGAGCGAUGAAGCACCUUCGGGUGUGAAUUAGCGGCGAACGGGUGAGGAACACGUGAGAAAUCUGCCUUCAACUCUGGGAUAACUCCGUGAAAACGGGGCUAAUACCGGAUAUGAAACCUUCAGGCAUCUGAGGGUUUGGAAAGUUUUUCGGUUGAAGAUGAUCUCGCGGCCUAUCAGCUUGUUGGUGAGGUAAUGGCUCACCAAGGCAACGACGGGUAGCCGGCCUGAGAGGGCGACCGGCCACACUGGGACUGAGACACGGCCCAGACUCCUACGGGAGGCAGCAGUGGGGAAUCUUGCGCAAUGGGCGAAAGCCUGACGCAGCAACGCCGCGUGCGGGAAGAAGGCUUUCGGGCUGUAAACCGCUUUCAGCAGGAACGAAAAUGACGGUACCUGCAGAAGAAGGAGCGGCCAACUAUGUGCCAGCAGCCGCGGUAAUCUGAUGGCGCGAGG